AUACCUGAUGGUAUGAUGAGAUUGCAUGAUAGCAUCAUUAAAGAUUUAUCGGCGUACGAUGGGGAUGCGUUCCAUUAGGUAGUAGGCGGGGUAACGGCCCACCUAGUCUUCGAUGGAUAGGGGUCCUGAGAGGAAGGUCCCCCACAUUGGAACUGAGACACGGUCCAAACUCCUACGGGAGGCAGCAGUGAGGAAUAUUGGUCAAUGGGCGAGAGCCUGAACCAGCCAAGUAGCGUGAAGGAUGACUGCCCUAUGGGUUGUAAACUUCUUUUAUAAAGGAAUAAAGUCGGGUAUGCAUACCCGUUUGCAUGUACUUUAUGAAUAAGGAUCGGCUAACUCCGUGCCAGCAGCCGCGGUAAUACGGAGGAUCCGAGCGUUAUCCGGAUUUAUUGGGUUUAAAGGGAGCGUAGAUGGAUGUUUAAGUCAGUUGUGAAAGUUUGCGGCUCAACCGUAAAGUUGCAGUUGAUACUGGAUAUCUUGAGUGCAGUUGAGGCAGGCGGAAUUCGUGGUGUAGCGGUGAAAUGCUUAGAUAUCACGAAGAACUCCGAUUGCGAAGGCAGCCUGCUAAGCUGCAACUGACAUUGAGGCUCGAAAGUGUGGGCAUCAAACAGGAUUAGAUACCCU
Molecule: ribosomal RNA, 624 nt
Filed under: uncultured bacterium
Lineage: Bacteria
Description: bacterial SSU rRNA
Rfam family: Bacterial small subunit ribosomal RNA
Source: RNAcentral